RNAcentral lists this long non-coding RNA (453 nucleotides) under Homo sapiens (human). RNAcentral's name for it is "HSALNT0356873". Lineage: Eukaryota; Metazoa; Chordata; Mammalia; Primates; Hominidae. The record is from RNAcentral.
UUUGCAUGUAAUGGUCCUUGGCCUAUAACUAGUUUUUCUUUUGUAAGUGUGUCAAACAGCUGUUCUCAGAUAUUCUAAUUUGCUUUCUUCUAGGCAUAUGGUAGAACUGAACUUUGUUCUACUGAAAUUGCUCAUUGCCAUGUGAUUUGCUUUGGCGAAUGAAAUGAAACUGAAGGUGAUGUGUGGACUCUUCUUGGGGGAGGCAUUUCAUUGCCAGUGACAGAGAUGAAGUCUCACCAUAUUGCCCAGGCUGGUUUCAAACUCUUGGACUUAAGCAAUCCUCCCACCUCGCCUCCCAAAGUGCCAGGAACACACUUAUGUCUCUUACAGCCAUGGAAACAAUGAACUGCUAACAUGUGUUUUUAGAAAGAAUGUGGAAGUAUGGGAACCUCUUCCUUUAUGUGGUAAUUGAGGACUAGGCCAGGCACAGUGGCUCACACCUGUAAUCCCAGC